Molecule: unclassified non-coding RNA, 257 nt
Filed under: uncultured fungus
Lineage: Eukaryota; Fungi
Description: partial contains 5.8S rRNA and ITS2
Source: RNAcentral
AACGCACCUUGCGCCAGCGGGAAUUCCUGCUGGCAUGCCUGUUUGAGUAUUGGAUAAACAAACUUACAAACUUAUUUUGUAGAGUUGGAUGAAGCAUUCUGCUGUGUGCUCAUCUUAAAUAAAGGAGUUGAUUUUGCCAACAAACCAACAGAGAUAGUCCGAAAGGUCAAUCUGAAGGUAAGGCUUAAAAUAUACUAAAAAAACAAAAAUUUAUUAAUAACAAUCUCAAAUCAAGCAAGACUACCCGCUGAACUUAA